AACAAGGUUUCCGUAGGUGGACCUGCGGAAGGAUCAUUG
This 39-nucleotide non-coding RNA is filed under the name Sus scrofa (pig). Lineage: Eukaryota; Metazoa; Chordata; Mammalia; Artiodactyla; Suidae. RNAcentral also lists the same sequence under 1 other name. The record is from RNAcentral.